This 385-nucleotide ribosomal RNA is filed under the name uncultured bacterium. RNAcentral's name for it is "bacterial SSU rRNA". It matches the Rfam family "Bacterial small subunit ribosomal RNA", at positions 30 to 417 of the family's 1533-position model. The record is from RNAcentral.
AUUGAACGCUGGCGGCAUGCCUUACACAUGCAAGUCGAACGGCAGCGGACCUUCGGGUGCCGGCGAGUGGCGAACGGGUGAGUAAUAUAUCGGAACGUACCUUUCAGUGGGGGAUAACGUAGCGAAAGUUACGCUAAUACCGCAUAUUCUGUGAGCAGGAAAGCAGGGGAUCGCAAGACCUUGCGCUGAUUGAGCGGCCGAUAUCAGAUUAGCUAGUUGGUGAGGUAAAGGCUCACCAAGGCGACGAUCUGUAGCGGGUCUGAGAGGAUGAUCCGCCACACUGGAACUGAGACACGGUCCAGACUCCUACGGGAGGCAGCAGUGGGGAAUUUUGGACAAUGGGCGCAAGCCCGAUCCAGCCAUGCCGCGUGAGUGAAGAAGGCCU